This 482-nucleotide ribosomal RNA is filed under the name uncultured bacterium. RNAcentral describes it as "partial 16S ribosomal RNA". It matches the Rfam family "Bacterial small subunit ribosomal RNA", at positions 30 to 507 of the family's 1533-position model. The record is from RNAcentral.
AUUGAACGCUGGCGGCAUGCCUUACACAUGCAAGUCGAGCGGUAACAGGUCUUCGGAUGCUGACGAGUGGCGAACGGGUGAGUAAUACAUCGGAACGUGCCCGAUCGUGGGGGAUAACGGAGCGAAAGCUUUGCUAAUACCGCAUACGUUCUACGGAUGAAAGCAGGGGACCGCAAGGCCUUGCGCGGACGGAGCGGCCGAUGGCAGAUUAGGUAGUUGGUGGGAUAAAAGCUUACCAAGCCGACGAUCUGUAGCUGGUCUGAGAGGACGACCAGCCACACUGGGACUGAGACACGGCCCAGACUCCUACGGGAGGCAGCAGUGGGGAAUUUUGCACAAUGGGCGAAAGCCUGAUCCAGCCAUGCCGCGUGCAGGAUGAAGGCCUUCGGGUUGUAAACUGCUUUUGUACGGAACGAAAAGACUCUUUCUAAUAAAGAGGGUCCAUGACGGUACCGUAAGAAUAAGCACCGGCUAACUACGUG